UGGCUCAGGACGAACGCUGGCGGCGUGCCUAAUACAUGCAAGUCGAACGAGUUCUCGUUGAUGAUCGGUGCUUGCACCGAGAUUCAACAUGGAACGAGUGGCGGACGGGUGAGUAACACGUGGGUAACCUGCCCUUAAGUGGGGGAUAACAUUUGGAAACAGAUGCUAAUACCGCAUAGAUCCAAGAACCGCAUGGUUCUUGGCUGAAAGAUGGCGUAAGCUAUCGCUUUUGGAUGGACCCGCGGCGUAUUAGCUAGUUGGUGAGGUAAUGGCUCACCAAGGCGAUGAUACGUAGCCGAACUGAGAGGUUGAUCGGCCACAUUGGGACUGAGACACGGCCCAA
RNAcentral lists this ribosomal RNA (343 nucleotides) under Lacticaseibacillus casei. RNAcentral describes it as "bacterial SSU rRNA". It matches the Rfam family "Bacterial small subunit ribosomal RNA", at positions 20 to 334 of the family's 1533-position model. The record is from RNAcentral. Lineage: Bacteria; Bacillati; Bacillota; Bacilli; Lactobacillales; Lactobacillaceae.